AACGAACGCUGGCGGCAUGCCUAACACAUGCAAGUCGAACGAGACCUUCGGGUCUAGUGGCGCACGGGUGCGUAACGCGUGGGAACCUGCCCUUAGGUUCGGAAUAACUCCCCGAAAGGGGUGCUAAUACCGGAUAAUGUCUUCGGACCAAAGAUUUAUCGCCUUUGGAUGGGCCCGCGUUGGAUUAGCUAGUUGGUAGGGUAAAAGCCUACCAAGGCGACGAUCCACAGCUGGUCUGAGAGGAUGAUCAGCCACACUGGGACUGAGACACGGCCCAGACUCCUCCGGGAGGCGGAAGGGGGGAAUAUUGAACAAGGGGCGAAAGCCUGAUCCAGCAAUGCCGCGGGAGUGAUAAAGGCCUUAGGGUUGUAAAGCUUUUUUACCGGGGAUGAUAAGGAAAGUACCGGGAGAAAAAGCCCCGGUAAACCCCUG
This 432-nucleotide ribosomal RNA is filed under the name uncultured bacterium. Its description in RNAcentral is "partial 16S ribosomal RNA". It matches the Rfam family "Bacterial small subunit ribosomal RNA", at positions 29 to 506 of the family's 1533-position model. The record is from RNAcentral.